This 468-nucleotide ribosomal RNA is filed under the name uncultured bacterium. RNAcentral's name for it is "partial 16S ribosomal RNA". It matches the Rfam family "Bacterial small subunit ribosomal RNA", at positions 28 to 507 of the family's 1533-position model. The record is from RNAcentral.
GACGAACGCUGGCGGCGUGCUUAACACAUGCAAGUCGAACGGAAAGGCCCUGCUUUUGUGGGGUGCUCGAGUGGCGAACGGGUGAGUAACACGUGAGUAACCUGCCCUUGACUUUGGGAUAACUUCAGGAAACUGGGGCUAAUACCGGAUAGGAUCUCCUGCUGCAUGGUGGGGGUUGGAAAGUUUCGGCGGUUGGGGUUGGACUCGCGGCUUAUCAGCUUGUUGGUGGGGUAGUGUCUUACCAAGGCUUUGACGGGUAGCCGGCCUGAGAGGGUGACCGGGCACCUUGGGACUGAGAUACGGCCCAGUCUCGUACGGGCGGCAGCAGUGGGGAAUAUUACAAAAUGAGGGGAAGCGUGAGGCAGAAACGCCGCGUGCGGGAUGACGGCCUUCGGGUUGUGAACAGAUUUCGCCUGUGACGAAGAGUGAGUGACGGUAAUGGGUAAAGAAGCACCGGCUAACUACGUG